UUCUCCAGCAGAUUGAGCCCCAGCCUGCGGGGCAGUAUCUCCUCAGUUGCUCAUCCCAGCUCUGACACAGGCUCCCUCUUGGGAAAACAAGGCAGAGAAGUGAUUUAAACCAUUUCUAAAAUCCUCUGAAGUUGAAGAGUUUUAUUAUUUACACAACCACGUCCACAUCUAAGGUGUUUCCUGGCUUGGGUAAAAGAGAACUAUGGGUUUGUGUUUUCCUAGCUGUUAAAAUUCUGUAGUUGAUAGUAAAUUCUGCUGCCCAUAUCUUUAUUGAGUAACAGCUUCCUCCAUGAGUAGCAGUCCUACUCAAGUCAAUGGGGGUUAGUUUCAGAGGAAGUUGCUUCUCUUUGUGAUUAAGGGUAGCAGAAUCUGGCUUUUGACGACUGAGCUAAUUUUAUUAAAAUCCCCAGUAAAUGACAAGUCCAAAGUAUCUUUCCUUUGAUCAACUGUUAAAAAACCUCUAACUUUUUAUUAAAAAUUUCCAAAACUCUUAUGACAAUUAGCCAGCCUGGGCACCAGAUCUAAUCGUCUAAUUCUUACCGUGAUAAAAAUAUUUUUUCACCUGCCAAAACUAUUACGCAUCUGGCACGUUUUGUUUUUGUUACAGCUAAUACAUGUAAGAUGUAUAUGAAAUGUUGGCUUCAAACAUCUUAUGGAGUCUUCCUGUCUGUGCCCACUGCAAUCGGGAGUGGACUCACCUGCAUGUUGGGAACUACAACAUAGUGUAUGCGAUAUGUAGUCCUGGGUGGAAUUUCAUACUUAUGCAGAGGACCAGCGCAAGAUGUAUGCACAAUAUAAUUUUCACUCCAGCCCUCAAAAUAGGACUUCACUGAGAUUAAAGAGGUCCAUAGGCUUGAGCUGUUCCUUGGCAUAGUGGUGGAUUUCAUCCUUUGUGCUUGCAAAUAGAUGCUCGUGCAGGCACACUUAGGGAGACCCUCCUGAAAAUAUGCUCCUUCAAAUUGUGUGCUUUAUGGAUUUCUUCAUAAACAGUGGAAAUCAAUAUCUGUCUAUCUAUGGUAUUUAUACGGCCCCCAUUAUAACAGCAUCUGAGUAUCUUAAAAAAUUGAAUGCAUUUAUCUUCAAUACCCCCUGUGCAGUAGGGAAGUGUUAUCCUCAAUUUAUAGUAGGGGUUCUCAAACUGGGGGUCAUGAGGAUAUUACAUGGGGGGUUGCGAGCUGUCAACCUCCACCCCAAACCCCACUUUGCCUCCAGCAUUGAUAAUGGUGUUAAAUAUAAAAAAAAGUAUUUUUAAUUUAUAAGGGGGAUCACACUCAGAGGCCUGCUUUGUGAAAGGGGUCACAAGUAAAAAAGUUUGAGAACCACUGAUUUAUAGAUUGGAAACUGAGGCACAGACUAAGUGACUUGCCUACGGUCAUUCAGUAACUCUGUGGCAAAGCAGAGAAUUGAACCCAGUCUCCUGAGUCCCGGGUUAGCAUCCUCACCGCACGACCAAGAGAAUAUGUUUAUUUUACUAGAAUUACCAUAAACAUGGAACAUUUAAAAACGAGUUGAAAUGUUUAAAAUCUGUUUAACAGCAGAAAAGCAAGUGUCUCAGGUGACCAAACAAGGUCCCAGUUACUCAUUUUAUAAUGGUUUAUUUUCCUCGCUAUAUGGAAAAUGCAAUUAAGACUCUUCUAUUGAGACGUCUGUUUCAUUUGCAGAGAAAUCCUAUGAGAAAUGUUUAAAAACAAAACACACACACACGCACAACCAAAGCCCAAUACAGUUAAAAACAGAAGUCAGACAUCUCUUUUUCAAAAGCAUAGGAUAUUAAUGGAGAAAGCUCUAUUUUCAUAGCAAAGCAAAAAGAACACUACUCAAUAGUAUGCAUUUCUUAAUGUGCAUCUAAAGUUUCAAAGUAGUCAAAUUUUCCAAAUCAAAUGAUGUAUUGCUUCAUGUUUCCCAAGUUUUCAGUCACUCAUUGUAUAAAACAUUGGAUUAUAAAAUCAAAUGCUCUGAAUUUAGUGUUUGUUGGGUAUAUCAGAAAAAAUUCUAAUGCUUAAAUGUGUUCUAAAGUAUGGGGUGGAGGGAGAGUAAAAUAGUACUUAAAACUGCUUUUUAUUUUUGAGGAGCCCUCUGUUUACUUCAGCUAAAAUGCAAUGGUAGAUGAAAGGGAAUAGGCAGAACUGGAUCGUUAAUAUUAUUAUUUAUUAUGUGCAUUAUAUUAGUCCCAAGAGUACCCAACCAAGAUCAGGUCCCAUUGUGCUGGGCACUGUACAAACACACACAAAAAGAGAGAGUUCCUGCUCUGAGAAACUUAUCAUCUAAAUACCGAAAGCAAAUAGAGAGAGCGUUCCUAUUAUGCCUGUGUCAGAGAUGUGAAACAGACACAAAGAUUCAGUGACAUGCCAAAGGCCACACAGGAAGUCUAGUGGCAGACUAGUGCCUUAAACUUUGUUUGUCCUUUUCAGUAUGUUAGCUCCCUGUUGUUACUUCGGUGAUUUUUUAAAAAAUAUUUACUGUUAGCACCAAUCCAGCUUCAGUUCUGGAUUCCCUUGCUCUUUGUUCAUCACCAUUAAAAUCCAGUUAAAUUCUCAUGAGCAUAUUCAGAUCCCAGUGGUGAAACUUUGAAAGAUCAACUUUUGACUUUUAACUACGUGUAUUUGAUAUGGAAAUAUGAGAGACAAUAAAUAAUAUGGAACCCCGCUCUGCUGUUUCAACAAGCUCUCUUCUGGCAAUAGCUGCAUGCUGAGCUUUUUGUUUUUGAAGAUUUCUCGGUUUAUGUUACAGAAGGCCCAAGCUGUGAUAAACGUGUAAAACACAUGAGUGCUGGUAAGAGACUGAACUUUAUUUCCUGGCCUAAGGCACAUAGGUCAGGGUGCAGUGUCCACUCACUCCAGUGGCUCCUCUUGCAUUAGUUUCACAUUACUUUAGAUGCAGAAAGCUAGAAAUCUUUAAGAUCUGGGUGUUUGGGAGAUGGAGGGGGAUAAGUUAAUUUUUGCCUCUCAGAUAGGCAAAACUUCACAAACUUCUUCCUAAGACACACAUACAUACUCUUUGUUGUUAAGCCAAUAAGGAGCAGAUAAAGCUGACCAGUUGAGUUGUUUUUCUCUUCUUGGUUGUAUAAACAUUUUACAUUUUAUAGUGUGUGUAUGGUCUCAGUCAGGGAGCACAUUUAUUGUGCAUGUCGUUCAGUUUAGAUUCUACUGCAGCACAUGAUUACAGCAACUUAGAGGAAAAAACUGGAAAAUAAGUCCCUGAUGUAAAACUGGAAACUGAGCCAAAACAGUAGUGCCAGUUAUGAUUUCAGUGCCUUACACACAUUGAUUUAUGAAUUCACUGGAAAUGUGAUUUAUGAAUUCAAUGCAAAUGUAUUUAACAAUUUUUUAGGACAAUUUAGCAUAUUAAUCAAUUCUCUCUAAAAGCCAAACAUAACAUUCUUUUGGAGCCAUUUUUCUCUGUCCUUUUAAUAUUUUCAGGAGAGGUGUUAUAGAUUGUAAUUCUAGGAGGAGGGGAAGGGAAACACAAAGGAAAAUUCAUGUGUGUGUUUCAUUCAUUCAGAUGUGGCAUUUACUGUAUCCUUUCAGCCUCACCAUACUUGUCUCGAACUGUUUUCAUUUUGUUUCCUAAUUGCAGAAAUUCAACUUUCUAGAACCAUUAACAGGGGGAAGACAUCUGGGUGGAAGGUGGAGGGGAGCAGGCAAGAACCAGAUUACUAUUUGGCUACACCUACUAUCUAACUCCCGGACCUCAUGGCUUGGUCCCAGUUCUGAUCCCUCCCAGUGCCUACCACAAUGGCAUCCUAGUCUGUGGCUGGAGCUCCUGGCGAUAUGGUAAUACAAAGAAAUAAAUAAGUUGCAAGAUUCCCUUUAAUGGACAAAUAUAAAAUAACCUGUCCAUAGCGAAGUUUCUUCCUGCCCCCAUGACAUUAGUGUUUGGCAUCUGCCUCGAAGCAUGAGAGUUUAGAUCCCCUGUUUUUUAUGUAAUUGUGGUUGCUGUCGUCAUCCAUGUAAGUGCAUAAUCCCUUUUUUAAUCCUGCUAAAAUUCAGUGAUCCCUCCUCAAACACAAACUACUUAUCUUCACUUUAAGUCAUCCUAUCUAUCCUCUCUUACAUGCUGUUAAGUCACUGAACCUCACCUCAGCAGUGCCAAUGAUAUCAGUCUUCAUCGCCAAUCAGUCCAAUUGUCCCAAAAACACCUUCACACUUUCUCCAGUACCUCUCCUUAUGGAGUUCCCCAUAAACAUCCACAAAACCACUGUAAUAUCCUCCGUCAAAUGCCUCCUUAACUCAUGAUGCUUACAACACAGUUGACUGUAUCUAGGCAGCUGGUAUGUUAAGACUGCUGCUUCUUACUUUGUAGUUAUAAUCCGACCAACUCAUUGCUACUUCAUGCUUCCCCCAUCUGUUUCUUGUAUCCAGCUAUUGUUUCUUGUCAUAUACUUGUACUGUGAGCUCUUUGGGGCCAGGGCGGUCUGUUUGUUAUCUGUGCAUAAAGUGGCUAGCACAACAGGGGACCCAACCGCUGACUGGGGCCCCAGGAUAGUACCGCAAUGCAAAUCAAUAACAGUAAUAAUAAUAAUACAGUAAUAAUGAUGAAGGCACUAAAGGAAGGCAAUGGCGGUAGUCAACAUGUGAAUUGACCAGGACGCCAAUAAAAUUCAUGAUGACAAAGAUGAAGAGGAAAGACAGAUUUUGAAUAUUUUGCCAGCAUUUGGUAAAAAUGUAGAGGAAAGAAUGUAGAGGAAAAGAAGGAGAAAUAAGAAUUGAUUAUGACACAAAGGCUAAGCACCUGCAGGAGGGAGAAGAUAGCAGAAUUAUCAGCAGCACCCCAGAGAUAAGGGAGGGAAUUGGGGAGCAAAGGUUAGGAACUGGUUUUUUGCCAUGUUGAGUAUGAGCUAGUGCUAAGAAAUCCAAGAUGAGAUGUUGCAAAGACAGGAACGAAAGCAGGGUAGAAAGGUACAUUUUUGUGGUCAUUGGCAGACAUGGCAGUUGAAGUCCUGAGAGUACAAGUCACCCAGGACUAGAGAACAAGGAAACAACAGGACAGGGACAAAGACAGAUCCCUGAGGGAUUUCUACAAUGCAAGAGGAGCUGACGGGAGACUGAUGUACCUGCUAUCUGAUUGUUGGUUGAAAUGUUCUCGUAAUAUUUUGUAGGACUUCGCUCCCUUACCUCUUACCCUGUUUUGGCACAUAAAUGUCUAAAUAGUUGGUACUGAAUGGUUUCUUGUUCUCAAACAUUUGGCUUCCCAAUUCCGACUGAAAAGCUGUUGAUUUGCAUCCUUUAGUGGAACGUCAAAAAUGAGAUUUAAGAAUUUUCUUUUGGAAGAUCUCAACCUGUGGAGUCAGCAAACUAUGUGUGAACCCCUUUGUUGGAUGGGUAGUAGAAUUCCCAUGUCAUUUUUCUGAAUUAUCAGCAAUAUGCUGUAGACAAAAUAAACUUGUUUUGCCCUUGGAAGUAGUUGAUUGCACACACAAUUUUCCUGCCCCUUCAGAGUUUUAUCUUUCAAUUGCACACACGCUUUUUUGAAAACAUUAAUUAGACUUGCCAUUGUAUCUUACAGUAUUUCUGUGGCUAUUUGGUGUGACAAGGAAAAAAAGAUUCUAACUCACGGCUUCAGGAAAUGAGUGCAUAAUAAUCUCACAUCUGUUAAAUUAUGCUCUGCUUGUUCUGACAGUCAGUAGCACACUCAGCAUUAUUCUGAAUUAAAAUAGAGUGGUAAAGGAAAUAAGCUUCUGCAUUUGCUAAUGACUCCUGUUUCUAAAACAGAUUUACAAGUAAGGAGUGCAAACUACACAAUAGCUUCCAUUGUCUGGGUUCCCGUUAACCUAAGGGUAAAUUGACCAAAAAACAACUCUAACAGGAGAGAGCUAGGAAAGGUCGCUAUAGAGCUAAUGCAUGUGUUUCAGCUUGGUAUCCUGGGAGCCCAAAAAAUAUACAUGCCCAGAUUUGCUAAAAUGUAGCUAUAUGAUCUCUUAGGACUGUAGGGUAAAUAAAGAAUGACAAAUAAGAUUGAUUUUAUAUUCAGCUGGGGUUGAGUUGCAUGGAAGAUAGGGAAUCUAGCGCUGUUCCACUGUCAUAUGGCAGAUAGAUUUCUCACUUUUAAAAAAUACCAUGUACGUGCUGAUCUACAUUUAGAUAAAUGAUGAAGACUUCCGCCGAAAAACCAACAGGCUCCCCAGCCCUGGCUAUUAUCCUAGUAACAUGAUAGCUUGCUGCAGGGCACUGCACCCAGGGCACUGCAUCAAACUGCAAUCAUCAUGUGUGCCUCUGAACUUUUACUGCGUCCUCACUCUCGGCACUGAAACUGGGUUUAAUUUAAAGUGAAAGCAGUGUUUGUGAAAAGUGUCAGAUGGACUACUUCAGACAGUAAGUCCUCUAGUUUGCCACUGAAGAGCUACAGCAAAAGCAGUGCAAGCUUCCACACAUUCUAAGGCCUUGUCUACACACCCAAGUUGUGCCACUGUAACUCUACCGGUAUGAAAGUGUCUAUAGCAGCACAGCCAUUCCUGUAUGGAAAGGGGAAAUAAGCUAUGCGGAUAUAAACACACUUAUACUGGUACAGUUGUGUCCACACUAAUGGAGUUUUUAACUACGUUAACUGGUUAAAAAAAAUCACAUCCCUAACCAACAUAUUUUUACCAAUACAAAAACUGGAUGUAGCCCAGGCCUCAUUAAUAUCCAGCAGUAUUUUAAAAUCCUAGUACAUUUACUAUCAUCAAUGGUACAACUCAGAAAAACAGAAUAUGGGAUUGAGAAGCAGCAUUCAGCCAGUGCAAAGUGCUUUUGAAAAUCCCAUUUUGAAUUUUUUUAGCCCUUCCAGUCCUCUUCUCCUUACCAUCCUCUCAUCUUUGAAAUCCUCAAGACCCACUUCUGCUGUGAUGCCAAAAGAAUUCAGCCAGCCAAUGAUGGCUACGGUGAUGAGCGGCAGUCAGAUGCGCUUCCUAAGGGCAGUGACCCAGAGGAAUCCUUUUAUUGGUGGGUCAAGGUUUAGCCAGAAUGGGUUUAGUGAAUUACCAAAAUGAAUUCUUGAUGUAAAAAUCUGAGACCUGCACAUGUUGUCUCCAACACAAUUACAGAAGCGGAGUGUAGAAUUUGCAAGGAUUCAGCACCUACGCUCACUUCUCUCAAAGAGUGAGGCUUGGGAAAAACAAGAAAUGUGAAGAAAGGAUGAAGAACAAGGUGACAUAAAGUUACAGAAGUGAGAAGAGUGCAAGUCCAAGGAGAAUCUUGAAGAUGGAGAAUGAUGGCACUAGUUCAAGAAAUGGAGAGGAGGCCAGUGAAGAAUUUCAAGGAUCAAGAUGAUGAGUUCCUGCUUCCUGUGAAUGGAUGAAAAGAUGAGCCACCAUAUUUUGGAUACUUUGAAUUUUGGAACAAUCUGAAAGACAAAUCUUGAGCCAAGCAAUUACAUAAAAAAUCUGCAUUUGCAGGAAGGCAGACUGGAUGAUCUUACAGUCCUCUUCUCUCUUUAAUGCCUCUGAUUACAUUAUAAUACCUAAUGCUGCCAGGUAUGCAAACUUCUAGCUGAGAGAAGCUUAGCUCCUAUGGCUUUGGCCAGGGGAGACUACUUUUUGGCUCACCCAAUAGAUCUAGUGCCUAUGGAUGUUUGGAACUUGCUUCCUCUCCAGAUCUGUAAUAGCUUGAGUUUGUUAGAUUUUAGAGAGUGCUGCAAAGUCCACUUUUGCUCCCUUGCACAUUAGCAGAUGGGUGUUGAGUAGGGCCGGGUAGCAAUGGCAUAAGAGUCAGGCGGGAGUUCUGUAGGGAGGCUUGCUAUAUAUAUGUUGAUGCUGGGGGUUUUUGAUCUAAUUUGAUUUAAAAGGUGAAAGAUCUGUUUAUUUAACAGUGUAUUUUAAAAACUGUCAAAGGCAGCCUGAUCAUUGGAUGGGUGCUCUUUUAUUGUAGUUUGUGAAAGUCCAAAUAAUAAAAUAUAUGAAAUAAGGACCACAACGGUCGCUAAUCGAGUCUGUCAUGGUAAGGUGCAACCCACAAACACAGAUAAAAGACUCCACUAAGGAGCUACACCCACUCUAGUGUCUGGCAGUCACAUCAGUACCAAGACAUGAAAGCAUGAAGAACAGUUUUGGCAGCUAAUGAUUGGUAUGCUUAGGAUGCUGAGAUCUGUUGGAUUCAAUAUAAUGCAUUGUCUACCUUCCCCCCAUUGCCACCCGCUUUUAAACACUCUGCCUAUGACUUCUACAAAAGAAGUAUACAGUAAAUCAGAAAACAAAUACAGUGUAAGUUCAAAUAGAGGGGGAGGAAAAGACACAUUCUGUACAACUAAUAGCACUGAAUGAAACUAAACCUGCUGCUAACAGCUUUUCAGUCUUUAUUAAUCACUUUCAUACAGCCUAGCUUAGACUAACAAUUAAACAAACAAACAAACAAAAAAAGAAAGAAAGGAUUCAGGUAGCCUAAGUAAGGAAAUCUGUGCAUAGUGCAUCCAUUAGUUAAUAUUUUCUGAAAAAUCAUAUGUUACAACAAAAUUAAACUCUCUGGCACUAAUACAAGUUUGUCUGGCCCACUAAGUUAACAAAUUUGUUACUACACAUCAUUUAUAAACUGUUGUUUUCCCUCCAGAGUAGCUAAAGCUAUGACCCUUUGGUUAUGUGUGUUCCUUGAACCUUCCUCCAUGAAAAGUACCAUGGAGUCAGUAUGUUGUCACGAUGCGCUCACUGAAAAUGUCCACUAAUGACCGUGGAAAGUAAAACAGCCCUUUGAAUGGUUGAGGGGAAUAUUUAGGAAUUUCUUCAUGCAAAGUUGGGCACCCUAAGAGAAAAAUGCUUUCAAGGUCAAACUAUUGUUUAUUUUGGAGCCUAUUUCUCUUUCUGCUUUCCUGGUGACCUAGGAAUGAGCUCACAAUUGGAAGCAAACCUCUCUUCUGUUUCCACUCCUAAAGAAUUACCUACUCUCUGAAAGCUCACAGGAUUAUCGAUGGCUUUGCACCAAAAAUACGAUUUGGAAUCCUGUGGAAAACACACACACACGUUUGCGUGUGUAUGUAUGACACUGACAGAUUUAAGUUAAAAAAAAAAACCAAACUGUAGAAACAUUAAAAUGAAAAGUGAUUGAAUUCCUAGUAAAUGGAAAGCUUCCCAUAUUCACAAAUGGUCUGCUUUGUGCUUGAAAGUGAGAUUACCUAAUCUAGCAUGACUCUACAGGACAGCAAAACAUGCUGUUUUGUAAUGAGUGUAUAACUUUCACACUGUUUGGCAGCAUCUCAAACUGAGA
Caretta caretta (loggerhead turtle) is the source of this 9170-nucleotide long non-coding RNA. RefSeq lists it as uncharacterized. NCBI's taxonomy places the organism in Eukaryota, Metazoa, Chordata, Testudines, Cheloniidae. The record is from RefSeq and is a predicted model, not a curated record.